CCCGCCACUGCGCCUGACCGCCUGGUUGGCUGGCGCAAUCCAGUGGUGAGCUGAGAGCAAACCCCGGCUUAGGAAACAGGGUUGUUCUCCAUGUGGGCAACUCUGUGCCGAAAGCACGGGGACAGCC
This is a small nucleolar RNA of Ochotona princeps (American pika), 127 nucleotides long. Ensembl annotates it as small nucleolar RNA, H/ACA box 65. Its record names the gene SNORA65. Lineage: Eukaryota; Metazoa; Chordata; Mammalia; Lagomorpha; Ochotonidae. The record is from Ensembl.